CCCAUAAUCUGAAUUUGAUCCCUUUCAAGGACGGUUAUUCAACUGCUUGCCGUUUCGUCAGUAAUUCCCGUGUGCUACGCUUUACAGAACUUUUUUGCUUAUUCAAAUUCCAACGUCUAAAGAUAAUACACGAGUGCAGUUUUUCAGAGAGAGUAUGUUCUUUUCCUGCCACAAGAACAUCAGCAAGUUCUAGCCUUUGGUGUUUGCAGGGCGCAGUUGGGGCGGUUUUUGAGAUAGGUUUGUAAUAAAUUAGUCGAGAUCUGGGUGGCUUCGAAGUCUAUAGAGAGAUAUGGAGCCUCCAAAAGGGUUUUUGGCUUCUUUGUGGAACCUUAUUCGCUUUCUCCCUUUCUUCAUUGGGCUUCUACUUCUGGGUACUACUAAAGGUAUCAUUUUCUGCCCAUUGGUAUGCCUUAUCAUGACAAUUGGAAACUCUGCUAUCAUAUUAGGUCUUUGGCCAUUCCAUACUUUU
Molecule: unclassified non-coding RNA, 469 nt
Filed under: Hevea brasiliensis (rubber tree)
Lineage: Eukaryota; Viridiplantae; Streptophyta; Magnoliopsida; Malpighiales; Euphorbiaceae
Source: RNAcentral